This 658-nucleotide ribosomal RNA is filed under the name uncultured Candidatus Saccharibacteria bacterium. Its description in RNAcentral is "partial 16S ribosomal RNA". The record is from RNAcentral. Lineage: Bacteria; Candidatus Saccharimonadota.
UACCUUGUUACGACUUAACCCCAAUCAUCCCCCCCACCUUAGGCCGACGAAUCGGACUUCGGGUGUUGGCGACUUUCAUGGUUUGACGGGCGGUGUGUACAAGACCCGGGAACGUAUUCACCGCAGCUUGCUGAUCUGCGAUUACUAGCGAUUCCGACUUCAAAGAGGCGAGUUUCAGCCUCUUAUCCGAACUGAGAUUAGCUUUGAUGCGAUUUGCUCCACCUCGCAGCUUCGCUGCGCAUUGUACUAACCAUUGUAUCGUGUUUCUAGCCCAGGGUGUAAGGGUAAUACUGACCUGACGUCAUCCCCUCCUUCCUCCCCGUUACCGGGGCAGUUUGAAUAGAAAAAUACAACUAUUCACAAGGGUUGCGCUCGUUAAUGGACUUAACCAAACAUCUCACGACACGAGCUGACGACGGCCAUGCAACACCUGUCACUUGGCUCAAUAAAGCACUCUCGCCUUUCGGCAAAAUUCCAAGGAUGUCAAACCCUGGUAAGGUUCUUCGUUUAUCAUCGAAUUAAAGAACACGAUCCACCGCUUGUGCGGGUCCCCGUCAAUUCCUUUAUGUUUUGGCCUUGCGACCGUACUCCACAGGCGGGAUACUUAACGCGUUAGCUUUCCUACUGAGGGGGUCGAUACCUCCAUUAGCUAGUAUCC